Molecule: ribosomal RNA, 279 nt
Filed under: uncultured Streptococcus sp.
Lineage: Bacteria; Bacillati; Bacillota; Bacilli; Lactobacillales; Streptococcaceae
Description: partial 16S ribosomal RNA
Rfam family: Bacterial small subunit ribosomal RNA
Source: RNAcentral
AGUUGCGAACGGGUGAGUAACGCGUAGGUAACCUGCCUGGUAGCGGGGGAUAACUAUUGGAAACGAUAGCUAAUACCGCAUAAAAUUGAUUAUUGCAUGAUAAUUAAUUGAAAGAUGCAACUGCAUCACUACCAGAUGGACCUGCGUUGUAUUAGCUAGUUGGUGAGGUAACGGCUCACCAAGGCGACGAUACAUAGCCGACCUGAGAGGGUGAUCGGCCACACUGGGACUGAGACACGGCCCAGACUCCUACGGGAGGCAGCAGAAGGGCGAAUUCGU